This 253-nucleotide ribosomal RNA is filed under the name uncultured bacterium. RNAcentral describes it as "partial 16S ribosomal RNA". It matches the Rfam family "Bacterial small subunit ribosomal RNA", at positions 524 to 776 of the family's 1533-position model. The record is from RNAcentral.
UACGUAGGGGGCAAGCGUUACUCGGAUUUACUGGGCGUAAAGAGAAUUAAGGCGGUCAUGUGAGUCAGUGGUGAAAUCCCUCGGCUCAACUGAGGAAUUGCCUUUGAUACUGCGUGACUUGAGGACAGGAGAGGAAGGCGGAAUUCCCGGUGUAGCGGUGGAAUGCGUAGAUAUCGGGAGGAACACCUGAGGCGAAGGCGGCUUUCUGGACUGGUCCUGACGCUGAUAUUCGAAAGCUAGGGGAGCAAACAGG